UAGGGAAUCUUCGGCAAUGGACGAAAGUCUGACCGAGCAACGCCGCGUGAGUGAAGAAGGUUUUCGGAUCGUAAAACUCUGUUGUUAGAGAAGAACAAGGACGUUAGUAACUGAACGUCCCCUGACGGUAUCUAACCAGAAAGCCACGGCUAACUACGUGCCAGCAGCCGCGGUAAUACGUAGGUGGCAAGCGUUGUCCGGAUUUAUUGGGCGUAAAGCGAGCGCAGGCGGUUUCUUAAGUCUGAUGUGAAAGCCCCAGGCUCAACCGGGGAGGGUCAUUGGAAACUGGGAGACUUGAGUGCAGAAGAGGAGAGUGGAAUUCCAUGUGUAGCGGUGAAAUGCGUAGAUAUAUGGAGGAACACCAGUGGCGAAGGCGGCUCUCUGGUCUGUAACUGACGCUGAGGCUCGAAAGCGUGGGGAGCAAACAGG
This 429-nucleotide ribosomal RNA is filed under the name Chloroflexota bacterium. RNAcentral describes it as "Chloroflexi bacterium partial 16S ribosomal RNA". It matches the Rfam family "Bacterial small subunit ribosomal RNA", at positions 355 to 776 of the family's 1533-position model. The record is from RNAcentral. RNAcentral also lists the same sequence under 1 other name. Lineage: Bacteria; Bacillati; Chloroflexota.